RNAcentral lists this long non-coding RNA (784 nucleotides) under Homo sapiens (human). RNAcentral's name for it is "long non-coding RNA NONHSAT157293.1". Lineage: Eukaryota; Metazoa; Chordata; Mammalia; Primates; Hominidae. The record is from RNAcentral.
GUCCGCGCAGCUCGUCCGGCCCGCCCGCAGGCCAGCUUCUCUCGGGAGCCUCCACCCAGGCGCAUGGCUCCAUGAAGCAAGAGGAGGAGGCAGAGCGCGAGAGAUCCCGUCCGCCCCAGCCGCGUCUGGGCCAGGAGAAAAGCAAAACCAUAUUCCUGCUGCUGUCAGUUUUGAUGCACUGAGAAAACUUCAGAGACCUAAGCUUUUUCCAGAGAAGAGAAGCUUUACUGGUGUUCCAGCCCUAAGGCUCAUAUGACAUUAACAGACAAGACACUUUUCAGAAAGACAGGCAACGUGUUGGACCUUCCGGAGCUUCUCAGAAGACAGAGGGUUUUCUUUUGAGGCUGUUGUACAGUGGCCUGAUUAUAGCUCACUGUAGCCUCGAAAUUCUGGGCCGAAAUGAUCCGCCUGCCUCAGCCUCCAAAGUAGCUGAGACUACAGCAGUUUAAGUAUAGUGUGCCUGGGCCGGGUGCGGUGGCUCACGCCUAUAAUCCCAGCACUUUGGGAGGCCAAGGCCAGUGGAUCACCUGAGGUCAGGAAUUCGGGACCAACCUGGCCAACAUGUGAAACCCCAUCUCCACUAAAAAAUCCAAAAAUUAGCCAGGCAUGGUGGUGCGUGCCUGUAAUCCCAGCUAUUCAGGAGACUGAGGCAGGAGAAUCGCUGGACCUUGGGGAGGCGGAGGUUGCAGUGAGCUGAGAUCGCACACUACCGUACUCCAGCCUGGGUGACAAAGAAAAACUCCGUCUCAAAAAAUAAUAAUAAUAAAAAAGUAUAGUGUGCCUG